CCUACGGGACGCAGCAGUGGGGAAUAUUGGGCAAUGGGCGCAAGCCUGACCCAGCAACGCCGCGUGAAGGAAGAAGGCCCUCGGGUUGUAAACUUCUUUUAUCAGGGACGAAACAAAUGACGGUACCUGAUGAAUAAGCCACGGCUAACUACGUGCCAGCAGCCGCGGUAAUACGUAGGUGGCAAGCGUUAUCCGGAUUUACUGGGUGUAAAGGGCGUGUAGGCGGGUCUGCAAGUCAGAUGUGAAAUCUCAUGGCUCAACCAUGGAACUGCAUUUGAAACUGUAGAUCUUGAGUGAUGGAGAGG
Molecule: ribosomal RNA, 305 nt
Filed under: uncultured bacterium
Lineage: Bacteria
Description: bacterial SSU rRNA
Rfam family: Bacterial small subunit ribosomal RNA
Source: RNAcentral